This 251-nucleotide long non-coding RNA is filed under the name Homo sapiens (human). RNAcentral's name for it is "HSALNT0388114". The record is from RNAcentral. Lineage: Eukaryota; Metazoa; Chordata; Mammalia; Primates; Hominidae.
UAACGAGAGCCUGGUGGGGGAGAGGGGUUGUCUACGCGUCCCGAGGGUGUCACUGAUCAGCUGCUGUUCUGAGUCCUGAUUUUCUUUUUCUUUCUUUCUUUCUUUCUUUAUUCCUUUCUUCCUUCCUUUCUUUCUUCUUUUCUUUCUUUCUCUUUUCCUUCCUUCCUCCCUCUCCUCUUUCUUUCUUUCUUUCUUUUUUUUUUUUUUUUUUGUAGAGACAGGGUUUCACCAUGUUGACUAAGCUGGUCUCG